GAGGAAUAUUGGACAAUGGAGGAAACUCUGAUCCAGCCAUGCCGCGUGAGUGAUGAAGGCCUUCGGGUUGUAAAGCUCUUUCGGGUGUGAAAAUGAUGAUGGUAACACCAGAAGAAGCCCCGGCUAACUCCGUGCCAGCAGCCGCGGUAAUACGGAGGGGGCGAGCGUUGUUCGGAAUCACUGGGCGUAAAGCGUGCGUAGGCGGUUAUACAAGUCAGGAGUGAAAUCCCAGGGCUCAACCUUGGAAUUGCUUUUGAGACUGUAUGACUAGAGAUCUAGAGAGGUUGGGGGAAUUCCGAGUGUAGAGGUGAAAUUCGCAGAUAUUCGGAGGAACACCAGUGGCGUAGGCGCCCAACUGGCUAGAUACUGACGCUGAGGCACGAAAGCGUGGGGAGCAAAC
RNAcentral lists this ribosomal RNA (400 nucleotides) under uncultured bacterium. RNAcentral describes it as "bacterial SSU rRNA". It matches the Rfam family "Bacterial small subunit ribosomal RNA", at positions 356 to 773 of the family's 1533-position model. The record is from RNAcentral.